AUCGCGUGGGUACACGCGCC
RNAcentral lists this small nuclear RNA (20 nucleotides) under Arabidopsis thaliana (thale cress). RNAcentral describes it as "snRNA_16763". Lineage: Eukaryota; Viridiplantae; Streptophyta; Magnoliopsida; Brassicales; Brassicaceae. The record is from RNAcentral.